UGGAAUAUCCCUUUUGAGCUUGCUUGAAUGC
RNAcentral lists this non-coding RNA (31 nucleotides) under Mus musculus (house mouse). Lineage: Eukaryota; Metazoa; Chordata; Mammalia; Rodentia; Muridae. The record is from RNAcentral.